Molecule: ribosomal RNA, 568 nt
Filed under: Amanita pallidorosea
Lineage: Eukaryota; Fungi; Basidiomycota; Agaricomycetes; Agaricales; Amanitaceae
Description: eukaryotic LSU rRNA
Rfam family: 5.8S ribosomal RNA (bases 161-314)
Source: RNAcentral
UCUGGUCAUUACCAAUUCCACCUGUGCACACUUGUAGACACUUGGGAAUGAGAGACUUUGACCAGUCUCUUGAGAGAAUUGAAAUCUGGGUGUCUAUGCCAUUUUACCAAACACUAGUUGCAUGUUUAUAGAAUGAUUAUUUGAUUGAAUAUAUAAAUACAACUUUCAACAACGGAUCUCUUGGCUCUCGCAUCGAUGAAGAACGCAGCGAAAUGCGAUAAGUAAUGUGAAUUGCAGAAUUCAGUGAAUCAUCGAAUCUUUGAACGCACCUUGCGCUCCUUGGCAUUCCGAGGAGCAUGCCUGUUUGAGUGUCAUUAACACCUCAAGACCUGUCUGCUUUUGAUAGGUAUUGGAUUUUGGGAGUUGCAGGCUGUUUCAGAUAUAGCUUGCUCUCCUUGAAUGUAUUAGUGGAGAAAAGCUGUUGAACUCCAUUGGUGUGAUAAAAUCUAUCAAUGCCAGGAGCAACAUCAAGUGGUCUCUGCUGUCUAACCCUAACUGUCUGACUCACUUGACCUCAAAUCAGGUAGGACUACCCGCUGAACUUAAGCAUAUCAAUAAGCGGAGGACC